GGCACUGGGGGGCGAGAGGCCAGGCAAAGAGUGAAGUGGUGCUGGGCCCCCUGGCACUGACGUGGGCUGCUCUCCAGGGCCCUGGGAAAGCACUGAGAGACCUCCAGAUGACUUUUUCAGAGCCUGCCCUGACAUGUCUCCAAGUAAGAUUGAGACCUUUGGUCCAUGUGUACAGUGAAGGCCCUGCCCUAGAAGGUCCACCAAAGUCUCUUUUUCUGCUACCAUCCUGGGACCUAAUCACCUUAAAGGAGACAUGCCAUUCCCAAAGAACUCCUUCGGAGGAAGGUUUUAUCAUGUCAACUUUGAGAGCUAACCAGGCCCUAGUGAGGAAAUGGAAAGGAAAAGGUGGGUAUCAACAAGGACUUUUUAAAUUUUUUAUCUUCUCCCCUUCAACAAGGACUUUUCAAUCAGCUAAAUGGCGAGAAGGCAGCAAGGCAUAUAAUACCUAUGACUCCAGCAUGAUUUCACCGAGAGGCAGUUUUGAAAGCUUGCCUUGUCCAGAGCAACAACUCAACAACUUUGACUGAGGACAGACUAUACAUAACGCUGAACUGUCUCUGGGUUAGGAUAUAGCCAUCACUUCAAUCAGAGCAAAGUAGGACACAAGACAUUGAGUGCCUUUGACCCCAGGGUCUCGGUCUUUACUAGAGCCAGUCUCCAGAGCACAUCCUCUGCCUGUCCAUUCAGGUUGCUUGAGAUUCAGCACUUUUGAAUGCAGCUGAGACGAUCAGAGUUUUUCCAAAGGAGUAUAACCAAGAACAAAGGUAAUCCAAGAACUACAGACGGAGAGUGUAACUGCUGACUCCGCCCUCUCCCCCCACCCGACUCCAGGCAGAACUCAGCGUCAUUGUUCCUUUCUGCACCAGUCAGAACUGGAGGCAUUUCUGCUCUCAUUCAGGACUCUCUUUGUUGAGGAAGAAACACUGAUGAGCAUCUGGGAUUGAAGAUGAGAUCCUGAAUAGUGCCUUAGCUGAAGACAAGGAGGCUGGUUGAUAGCCCGACACCAGGAGGCUGCACUUGGUUCCCCACAGCUGACGUCUGGGCUCACCAGGAGCCACCUGCACCUGCUUGGCUCCCAGCCCAGUAGUAGUGGUUGUCCUUGUAAUUGUGGUGAUAUAAUUUACUUGAGUAUUAAUAAGUCAAUUAAGUAUGAGAGCAAAGAAGAGAGUUGUUGGUUAUGUGAAAACCAAAUUAAAUGUUUAGUAUGAU
Molecule: long non-coding RNA, 1209 nt
Organism: Manis pentadactyla (Chinese pangolin)
Lineage: Eukaryota; Metazoa; Chordata; Mammalia; Pholidota; Manidae
Exons: 6
Source: RefSeq, a predicted model, not a curated record